CCUACGGGAGGCAGCAGUGGGGAAUAUUGGGCAAUGGGCGCAAGCCUGACCCAGCAAAGCCGCGUGAAGGAAGAAGGCUUUCGGGUUGUAAACUUCUUUUUUCAGGGACGAAGCACGUGAUGGUACCUGAGGUAUAAGCCACGGCUAACUCCGUACCAGCAGCCGGGGUUAUACGUAGGUGGCAAGCGUUAUCCGGAAUUCCUGGGGGAAAAGGGCGUGUAGGGGGUACUGCAAGUCAGAUGUGAAAACCACGGGCUCAACCUGAGGUCUGCAUUUGAAACUGUAGUUCUUGAGUACUGGAGAGGCAGACGGAAUUCCUAGUGUAGCGGUGAAAGGCGUAGAUAUUAGGAGGAACACCAGUGGCGAAGGCGGUCUGCUGGACAGCAACUGACGCUGAGGCGCGAAAGCGUGGGGAGCAAACAGGAUUAGAUACACUUGUAGUC
This 443-nucleotide ribosomal RNA is filed under the name uncultured bacterium. RNAcentral describes it as "partial 16S ribosomal RNA". It matches the Rfam family "Bacterial small subunit ribosomal RNA", at positions 338 to 795 of the family's 1533-position model. The record is from RNAcentral.